RNAcentral lists this transfer RNA (74 nucleotides) under Candidatus Photodesmus blepharonis. RNAcentral describes it as "Candidatus Photodesmus blepharus tRNA". It matches the Rfam family "tRNA". From Rfam's summary of the family: Transfer RNA (tRNA) molecules are approximately 80 nucleotides in length. Lineage: Bacteria; Pseudomonadati; Pseudomonadota; Gammaproteobacteria; Vibrionales; Vibrionaceae. The record is from Rfam by way of RNAcentral.
CGCGGGGUGGAGCAGUUUGGUAGCUCGUCGGGCUCAUAACCCGAAGGUCGGCGGUUCAAAUCCGUCCCCCGCAA